Molecule: non-coding RNA, 73 nt
Organism: Bos taurus (domestic cattle)
Lineage: Eukaryota; Metazoa; Chordata; Mammalia; Artiodactyla; Bovidae
Source: Rfam
UCCCUGGUGGCUCAGGCGGUAAAGAAUCUGCCUGCAAUGCAGGAGACUCAGGUUCCAUCCCUGGGUCGGGGAA